This 160-nucleotide ribosomal RNA is filed under the name Trichoderma brevicompactum. RNAcentral's name for it is "5.8S ribosomal RNA". The stretch from base 32 to 160 matches the Rfam family "5.8S ribosomal RNA", at positions 1 to 129 of the family's 154-position model. From Rfam's summary of the family: 5.8S ribosomal RNA (5.8S rRNA) is a component of the large subunit of the eukaryotic ribosome. It is transcribed by RNA polymerase I as part of the 45S precursor that also contains 18S and 28S rRNA. The record is from RNAcentral. Lineage: Eukaryota; Fungi; Ascomycota; Sordariomycetes; Hypocreales; Hypocreaceae.
GCUCCUAGCGAGCGUUUCGAAAAUGAAUCAAAACUUUCAACAACGGAUCUCUUGGUUCUGGCAUCGAUGAAGAACGCAGCGAAAUGCGAUAAGUAAUGUGAAUUGCAGAAUUCAGUGAAUCAUCGAAUCUUUGAACGCACAUUGCGCCCGCCAGUAUUCU